RNAcentral lists this ribosomal RNA (526 nucleotides) under Cantharellus lilacinopruinatus. Its description in RNAcentral is "mitochondrial SSU rRNA". It matches the Rfam family "Bacterial small subunit ribosomal RNA", at positions 355 to 952 of the family's 1533-position model. The record is from RNAcentral. Lineage: Eukaryota; Fungi; Basidiomycota; Agaricomycetes; Cantharellales; Hydnaceae.
CCAAGAAUAUUAGUCAAUGCUCGCAAGAGUGAACGAGCUAACUGAAAGAAUAUAUAAUCUAAAGUUAGGAAUCUUAUACUUAUAUUAUAAGUUUAAAGACGAAUCUAACUAACAGUGUCGUCCAAAUUCUGGUGCCAGAAGACUCGGUAAUACCAGAGACGCGAACGUUAAUCAUCUUGAAUGGGCAUAAAGGGUGUGUAGGCGGCUUAUUUAUUAAUAGGCUAGAAUCUUAUAGAGGUUAAUAAAAUACUUAGAGGAGGGCUGAUAUCCUUAGAUCCUAAGUGGAAUCCUAAUUGCGAAGGCCAUUUUCCACUACAGAUUGACGCUGAUACACGAAGGUUAGGAUAGGAACUAGGAUUAGAGACCCUAUUACCCCUAACUGUAAACGAUGAAUGGAAGAUAUUUACAACUGUAAGUGUCGAAGUGAAUACGAUAACCAUUCCGCCUUGCCAGUAUACUUGCAAAAGUGAAAACAAAAAAAUUAGUCGGUCCUAAAGCAAACGAAGUGAAGCAUGUUAUUUAAUUC